This 253-nucleotide ribosomal RNA is filed under the name uncultured bacterium. Its description in RNAcentral is "partial 16S ribosomal RNA". It matches the Rfam family "Bacterial small subunit ribosomal RNA", at positions 524 to 776 of the family's 1533-position model. The record is from RNAcentral.
UACGUAGGGUCCGAGCGUUGUCCGGAAUUAUUGGGCGUAAAGGGCUCGUAGGCGGUCCGUCACGUCGGGAGUGAAAACUCGGAGCUCAACUCCGAGCCUGCUUCCGAUACGGGCAGACUAGAGGUAGGCAGGGGAGAGCGGAACUCCUGGUGUAGCGGUGGAAUGCGCAGAUAUCAGGAAGAACACCCGUGGCGAAGGCGGCUCUCUGGGACGGUACUGACGCUGAGACGCGAAAGCGUGGGGAGCGAACAGG